RNAcentral lists this transfer RNA (67 nucleotides) under Eurycantha calcarata. RNAcentral's name for it is "tRNA-Arg". Lineage: Eukaryota; Metazoa; Arthropoda; Insecta; Phasmatodea; Phasmatidae. The record is from RNAcentral.
AAAUAAGAAGCAUUAAUGCAUUUAGUUUCGACCUAAAAUUUAAUAGUAAAUAAUCUAUUCUUAUUUA